Molecule: long non-coding RNA, 849 nt
Organism: Gavialis gangeticus (Gharial)
Lineage: Eukaryota; Metazoa; Chordata; Crocodylia; Gavialidae
Exons: 2
Source: RefSeq, a predicted model, not a curated record
GGCCCUGUGGGGCAGAGGCAGUGUAGAGCCUGAUCUUGAUGCACAGGGCUUGAUCUGGCCCACAGGCCAGCCCUCCGAUACUCAUCUCACCCAUGGGGUGAGAAGCUUGAGUUCCACUGUUCUAUAUAGCUAUGUAGAGAGAAUUCUGUCCCUUUGUUCAUAAAAUUAAAGACAUUUCAUGAAACCAGAAACUUACCCACCUCAUCCCAGUAAGAGUUUGCCUGUUCUUUCUUUUCCCACCUGGACUCAUCCUUCUUAUUCUGUGGCAGUCAUAAUCCUCCACAUGGCAAACAGAUGUAGCAGAAUAAACUUCAGGUGGUAAAGAAGCAGUAAGGGCAAGCCAGGUUUGAAAAGAUACUUGCGAAGUCAAAAAACAACUAAGACCCAACCUGUUAGGUCUGUUAGGUUGUCCUAUGUGAUUCCACACAAUACAGACUUUGGGGGUCUUGCAUACUAGAGGAGUCCAUCCUUGGCAAGAUGUGAUUUAGUGACAGCCAGGAAUUGGUUGUGCCUAUGUGCCAGGAUCACAUGGUCUGCAUUGCAAUGAUAAAGUUUGUGAAAAAAGAUCCAGGGCCAGCAUCUGUUCUUAGUUGCAUCAUGAGAAGACCAUUGGCUUCAGAAGGUUUGUGCAUGAUGCAACAGAGCAGAAUUUGUGCCUUUGCCUAUUAGAGUGUAACACAGCAGGAGAAGGACAGCCAGGUACAGGUCAUGCAAACCAAAAUAUGCAGAUUGAUUUCUAUUGGAACGUUUUUUGUGGCAUCCUGGCAGCUGAUCUUUGGGAUAUGUUUCUGGUAUAGGGUGAUGGAUCUGCCCCAGCUGAUAAGCAUCAACUGGUUCUGCAUCCGAAGU